RNAcentral lists this unclassified non-coding RNA (240 nucleotides) under soil metagenome. Its description in RNAcentral is "partial contains 5.8S ribosomal RNA, internal transcribed spacer 2, and large subunit ribosomal RNA". The record is from RNAcentral.
AACUGAUACUACCUGCGGGAACCUGCGGAGGGAUCAUUACAAAAGAGACCAAGAAGCACGUGAGAUGACAGUCUCAUUUCCGCUGCAUCUUGUUGUCCAACCACACUAUGUGAACUGUUAAUUGUCUCUGGCAGUUUUCUUCCAAAAAAGAGCUGCCGCCCUUUAAUAUUCUUGAAGGGGGGUAAGCAUUUUUAGAAAGGGCUGCCGAUGGGUUCUGCCCAUCAAAUGUGUUAACUCUGC